This is a non-coding RNA of Cordylochernes scorpioides, 74 nucleotides long. Lineage: Eukaryota; Metazoa; Arthropoda; Arachnida; Pseudoscorpiones; Chernetidae. The record is from the annotation of a GenBank genome assembly.
UGUCCAGGGAUGGGAAUCGAACCCACAGUGUUCCGCUUACCGGGCAGAUGCCAUGUCCACUAUGCUCUCUGGAC